UACGGGGGGGGCAAGCGUUGUUCGGAAUUACUGGGCGUAAAGGGCUCGUAGGCGGCCAACUAAGUCAGACGUGAAAUCCCUCGGCUUAACUGAGGAACUGCCUUUGAAACUGUCGGGCUUGAGUCCGGGAGGGGGUAGCGGAAUUCCCAGUGUAGCGGUGAAAUGCGUAGAUAUUGGGAGGAACACCGGUGGCGAAGGCGGCUACCUGGACCGGUUCUGACGCUGAUGCGCGAAAGCGUGGGUAGCAAACAGG
Molecule: ribosomal RNA, 253 nt
Filed under: uncultured bacterium
Lineage: Bacteria
Description: partial 16S ribosomal RNA
Rfam family: Bacterial small subunit ribosomal RNA
Source: RNAcentral